GGAGAGGUCGCAUAGUUGGUCUAGUGCACGCGACUGGAAAUCGCGAGUCCGAAAGGAUACGCAGGUUCGAAUCCUGUCCUCUCCG
This 85-nucleotide transfer RNA is filed under the name Chloroflexota bacterium. Its description in RNAcentral is "Chloroflexi bacterium tRNA-Ser". It matches the Rfam family "tRNA". From Rfam's summary of the family: Transfer RNA (tRNA) molecules are approximately 80 nucleotides in length. Their secondary structure includes four short double-helical elements and three loops (D, anti-codon, and T loops). The record is from RNAcentral. RNAcentral also lists the same sequence under 1 other name. Lineage: Bacteria; Bacillati; Chloroflexota.